Molecule: ribosomal RNA, 253 nt
Filed under: uncultured bacterium
Lineage: Bacteria
Description: partial 16S ribosomal RNA
Rfam family: Bacterial small subunit ribosomal RNA
Source: RNAcentral
GACAGAGGGUGCAACCGUUGCUCGGAAUCACUGGGCGUAAAGCGCGUGUAGGCGGUCCGGUAAGUCCGCUGUGAAAGUCGGGGGCUCAACCCUCGGAUGCCGGUGGAUACUGUCGGGCUUGAGUACGGAAGAGGCGAGUGGAAUUCCUGGUGUAGCGGUGAAAUGCGCAGAUAUCAGGAGGAACACCAAUUGCGAAGGCAGCUCGCUGGGACGUUACUGACGCUGAGACGCGAAAGCGUGGGGAGCAAACAGG